CACAUGUACAAUAGAUGUUUAAUGUCAAUGAGUGGUUAUGUUGUCCUGGGUUUCCCACCUCAGGGGAUUGUUAUGGGGGUGUGGUCAGAUGUUAUUUACAUGAUGCACAGGCGCCCAACAGGGACUGGCGCAGGGUAUUGGGGCAAAUUUUAAUGUUGACUGUGGUUAUUUUCUGGGUAUCUGCAUAUUUUGAUAAAACUUUAAAUAAAAGACAAAAAGGAAAGAGCCAGUAUGGAUUAUUGGAGAAUUGUCACAGAACAAAGCCCCACUCCACCCACGGUGCUGAAUCCGAUGUGCUUGUGGAGGCAGAUACAUGCAUAUACAUGUGACACAAUAAACAUGUUCCUGUUUACCAAAAGGAUAUGAGUGAUUUCAGCAAACUCAGCAGAAAAAAAGCUGUUCUGGGUAUUUUUUUUCCCCUUCCACAAACAUAACUAGAGGUUUUGUAGAUAGCUUUGAAAGCUUAUCCUGUGCACCUCAGCAAAUUCUGAAGCUGUUUUAUCUUAUGUGAUCAUUUUAGGUCAUUUAAGAAAUUCCCAAGGCUCUGCGUGGAAUUGGAAGAAGCUGGACUUUGGUCAGAAGAGAGCUUUUAAGAAACCAGCAAACACACAUCAGAGGCACAGCAGUCGAUGGAUUGCAGAGCCUGGUCUCGCAGUGGUCAGUGGAUGAGCGGCGGAGUUACGCCUGGACGGGUCACCAGUCCAUCUUUACAGCUACAUAAACAGCCAACCACACCCAGAGCUAUGGAGUUGCCAGUUGACCUAACAUGCAUGUUUUUGGUCUGUAGGAGGAAACCGGAGAAAACCCGCACAUGCACGGGCAAAAAAGCAAACUCAACACAGGAAGGCUACAGCCUGGAGUUUAAUCCAAAAUGUUUACGCUGUGCAAAAGCAUUCAAAUCAGGUUUUUCAAGAUUAAUACGAGGACCAUAAGAUGCAGCAGUUAGCAACAUGCAUCUUGAUUGGAGCCCUCUCAAGGAAUGAAAAUGUUUUUUUGGCCAUCUGGCUGGAUGAAAACCUGGUCUUUCAGGACAAUUUUGGACCCAGGAAUUUUCAUCAAACCAAAUCAAGCGCACGUUCCACUUUUAGCAGAUUUUCAAUUGUUGCUCAGAGCAAAUUUUUAUAUCUGAAACAUCUAAUGGAAUUGGGGUUACCCCAACCUGGAUUCUUCCAUUUUUACAUCAUCAUUUUACAUGACAUGACAGAGAUAAAAAUAUAAUUUUACAAACUUUGACAUCCAUUGGUUGCUGCUUACAAUAAAGGUUGAAGAAAAACAAGAAUUUACAAUAAAAUUCUCUGAUUUAGCUAGGUUCAGAUAGGGAUGCACCGAUCAGGUUUUUUGCUGCCGAUCACCGAUACCGAUAUCAAAGAAUACUGAUCACCGAUACCGAUCACCGAUACCGAUCACGUGGAUUGGCCAGAAAUUUUCUACAACAUUAUAAUGAGUCCUACAAACUACAUAAUCUGGGAAUAAAGGAAAUGUAACCUAAUCUAAAAUGGUCUGUGUUAGGGUUGUCACGGUGUGAAAAUUUAACCUCACGGUUAUUGUGACCAUAAUUACCACGGUUUUCGGUAUUAUCGCGGUAUUUUUUUUUAAACGUGCUACAUUUUCACACAAUUAAAUAAACCCUGUAUGUCAGGAAAUAUUGUCCUCAGUUUGUGUCUAAAUUUUGCCUAAAAUGUGUUAUUUUGUAAUUAUGUUGUUUAUUUGUUUACAUUUUCCCCUUUAGUCUUUAAAAUACCAAUAUUUGCCCAUAACUUCUUAUUUUAUGUCUGUUUGAUGUCAUCAUUUUAAAAAUAUUAGAUCAGAUGAUACUCAGUACUCAAGUAGCCUUCUAAUCAGAUACUUUUUUUUUUACCCUUACUUGAGCAAUCCGUCGUAUAUCAGGAGAAUAUUGUCCUUGGUUUGUGUCCUUCCAGUGAGCUUUGCAGAUGUGGGAAAAUGUCAUCAGGCAGUAAUCAUUGUUAAAUUCAUAAUUAUUCUCGGGGAGAGACCAACUCCUAUCUGCCCCUGGGAGCCCCGUAAUGCAUAGCGUCAUUUCAACAUGGGGGUGUCCGCGACACGGUUUAUAUGCAGGUAGCGGCGCUGCGGCUGCUUUAUAUAGCGACUCGUUGCAUUCUCCCUCAACCCAAAUCCUCGGAUCACUCAUUUUAGCUAAAACGCUAACGUUAGCUUGCCUUGCGUUGACUGUAGAGUUGUGGGUGAUGGUCACGCAGAUGUGUCAUGAGAUUUGAAACGUUGCUGCCUUUCACAGACACUUUUUCUGCUCGUGCUGCAAACAGGAUAGCCGUCCGUCCGUCUUCUAUAAACUCCCUCGGCAUUCUUCAAAUAUCUAAAAUAUGCCCGUAAUUCCGACUUUGUCUUCUUUGAGGGAUAAUAAAUGUCCUCCUGAGCGCUGCCAUCUCCUCCUUUGACCAUUAUUUCAGCUUUAGCUUCAAGAAAGUUUUGUUGUAAACAAAGCGUGCAUGUGCCGCCGGCAACUUCAGCCGAUGAUACGGUGGCUGGUAAGGGUCACCGCGCCUACACCGCAGCCACGGUAAACCCACCAAGAUAAUAUAGGUUUUUAAAAAACAAGACGGUUAUUAUUAUUGUCAACUUUUUUUUUUUUACCGGGGUUUACCGCUACACUGGUUACCGUGACAACCCUACCUGAUCGGUUUGCUUUGAUCUAUUUUGAAAAUUCCAAUCAAAACCGAUAGGGGCGCUAUCGGCCGAUUACGAUCAAAUGCCAAUCCAUCGGUGCAUCCCUAGGUUCAGAUAACACUGCUGUCAUUAUUAGCUCAGUUGGUCAGCGGCCUUGUGUUAUUCUCCAGAAAACUGUUCCUGAUUUUCUCUUAAAAGUCUAUUUAAAUAUAAAAUAACAUUAAAAAAACAUUGAAAUGGUUAUGCAUUCAAAUAUGAAGUUGGGAGUUUGCGACCAAGCCAAGGUUUGGAUAGAGUAUAUGUUAAAAUUAGGGGUGGGCCUAGAUAAAAAAAAAUCUAAUUAGAGGCUUUUUAAUUAAUGAUCUUGAUUAAUCACAUUUUAAUCAUUCAAGGCAAGUUGUGCCCAAGCAUUUUCUUUUCAAAAAUAAAAUGAGUGAGGCACAGAUGACAUAACCACACUUUAAUGCGUAUUUAUCUGUAACCACAAGGUUUAUUUGAUUACUUUGGUCUCAUUAUAACCAUUAUAGGAUUUGUUGGAAUGUCUAAAUAUUAGUAGAUGUGUUAUUGAUGAAGUGUAAAUGGACUUGGAACAUUGCAAAUGAUUUGAACUGAACACUAGGUGGCAGCAGAUCACUGCUAAUUUAUAUAGAGGUGUAGUGUAGAGUCCAGGGGAAGUUCUGCUGAGAGUUAAAAUAUAAAUGUUGCGUGUACGCUUGUCCCUCCUGCUGUAACAAAGUUCACAUGGAUAAAGUUACCGCCUGCCUACUUUCCACCAACUAGAAAACAUAACAGUUAAAAAGUUUACCCUUUCUUCCCUUCUUUUCUUUAAGAAGAGCGAUUUACAAUGAUUUAUUCAAUUGUAGUUUUAGUUUAGUUUGGAGCACGUAAAAACGUUAUUUGGUCUUGUAGCUCAGGAUCUGCGAUUUUGUUAAAAUGUCAUAAACUUUUCUGGCCCCCAAUUGGGGGGCGCUCUGACUCAAAGGGGUAAAAUUAGCAACUCGUUCUUUUUUUGUAAUUAAUAAAUAAAUAACAUGUUAAAUUCUUUUUAAAAACAUAAUUUGCAUAAUAUAUGGUGUAAAGU
Molecule: non-coding RNA, 3724 nt
Organism: Nothobranchius furzeri (turquoise killifish)
Lineage: Eukaryota; Metazoa; Chordata; Actinopteri; Cyprinodontiformes; Nothobranchiidae
Source: RefSeq, a predicted model, not a curated record